CGUAAAGGGCACGUAGGCGGACAAAUAAGUUUGAUGUCAAAUAUGAUGGCUCAACCAUCAAGAGGCGUUGAAAACUGUUUAUCUAGAAUCUCGGAGAGGUAAGUGGAAUUCCAUGUGUAGCGGUGGAAUGCGUAGAUAUAUGGAGGAACACCAAUGGCGAAGGCAGCUUACUGGACGAAGAUUGACGCUCGAGGUGCGAAAGCGUGGGUACGCAAACAGGAUUAGACUACCCUGGUAG
RNAcentral lists this ribosomal RNA (238 nucleotides) under uncultured bacterium. RNAcentral describes it as "partial 16S ribosomal RNA". It matches the Rfam family "Bacterial small subunit ribosomal RNA", at positions 559 to 793 of the family's 1533-position model. The record is from RNAcentral.